RNAcentral lists this ribosomal RNA (465 nucleotides) under uncultured bacterium. RNAcentral's name for it is "partial 16S ribosomal RNA". It matches the Rfam family "Bacterial small subunit ribosomal RNA", at positions 28 to 507 of the family's 1533-position model. The record is from RNAcentral.
GACGAACGCUGGCGGCGUGCUUAACACAUGCAAGUCGUACGGUAAGGCCCUUUCGGGGGUACACGAAUGGCGAACGGGUGAGUAACACGUGAGUAACCUGCCCACAACUUUGGGAUAACGCUAGGAAACUGGUGCUAAUACUGGAUAUGUGCUCCUGCUGCAUGGUGGGGGUUGGAAAGCUCCGGCGGUUGUGGAUGGACUCGCGGCCUAUCAGCUUGUUGGUGGGGUAGUGGCCUACCAAGGCGGCGACGGGUAGCCGGCCUGAGAGGGUGACCGGCCACAUUGGGACUGAGAUACGGCCCAGACUCCUACGGGAGGCAGCAGUGGGGAAUAUUGCACAAUGGGCGCAAGCCUGAUGCAGCAACGCCGCGUGCGGGAUGACGGCCUUCGGGUUGUAAACCGCUUUCAGCAGGGACGAAGCUUUUUGUGACGGUACCUGCAGAAGAAGCACCGGCUAACUACGUG